AGAGUUUGAUCCUGGCUCAGAAUCAACGCUGGCGGCGUGCCUAACACAUGCAAGUCGCACGAGAAAGGGUAGCAAUACCUGAGUAAAGUGGCGCACGGGUGAGUAACACGUGAAUUAUCUACCUCCGAGUGGGGAAUAACUGAGAGAAAUCUUAGCUAACACCGCAUAACACUUACGAGUCAAAGCAGCAAUGCGCUUGGAGAGGAGUUCGCGGCCGAUUAGUUAGUUGGCGGGGUAAUGGCCCACCAAGACGAUGAUCGGUAUCCGGCCUGAGAGGGCGCACGGACACACUGGAACUGAAACACGGUCCAGACUCCUACGGGAGGCAGCAGUGGGGAAUUUUGCGCAAUGGGGGAAACCCUGACGCAGCAACGCCGCGUGGAGGAUGAAAUAUCUUGGUAUGUAAACUCCUUUCGAUGGGGAAGAUUAUGACGGUACCCAUAGAAGAAGCCCCGGCUAACUUCGUGCCAGCAGCCGCGGUAAUACGAGGGGGGCAAGCGUUGUUCGGAUUUAUUGGGCGUAAAGGGUGCGUAGGCGGUUUGGCAAGUCUUGUGUGAAAUCUUCGGGCUCAACCCGAAGUCUGCAUAAGAAACUGCCGGGCUUGAGUAUGGGAGAGGUGAGUGGAAUUUCCGGUGUAGCGGUGAAAUGCGUAGAUAUCG
RNAcentral lists this ribosomal RNA (659 nucleotides) under uncultured Terriglobales bacterium. RNAcentral describes it as "bacterial SSU rRNA". It matches the Rfam family "Bacterial small subunit ribosomal RNA", at positions 8 to 699 of the family's 1533-position model. The record is from RNAcentral. Lineage: Bacteria; Pseudomonadati; Acidobacteriota; Terriglobia; Terriglobales.